AGCGUACACGGUGGAUGCCCUGGCAGUCAGAGGCGAUGAAGGACGUGCUAAUCUGCGAUAAGCGUCGGUAAGGUGAUAUGAACCGUUAUAACCGGCGAUUUCCGAAUGGGGAAACCCAGUGUGAUUCGUCACACUAUCAUUAACUGAAUCCAUAGGUUAAUGAGGCGAACCGGGGGAACUGAAACAUCUAAGUACCCCGAGGAAAAGAAAUCAACCGAGAUUCCCCCAGUAGCGGCGAGCGAACGGGGAGGAGCCCAGAGCCUGAAUCAGUGUGUGUGUUAGUGGAAGCGUCUGGAAAGGCGCGCGAUACAGGGUGACAGCCCCGUACACAAAAAUGCACAUGCUGUGAGCUCGAUGAGUAGGGCGGGACACGUGGUAUCCUGUCUGAAUAUGGGGGGACCAUCCUCCAAGGCUAAAUACUCCUGACUGACCGAUAGUGAACCAGUACCGUGAGGGAAAGGCGAAAAGAACCCCGGCGAGGGGAGUGAAAAAGAACCUGAAACCGUGUACGUACAAGCAGUGGGAGCCUCUUUAUGGGGUGACUGCGUACCUUUUGUAUAAUGGGUCAGCGACUUAUAUUCUGUAGCAAGGUUAACCGAAUAGGGGAGCCGAAGGGAAACCGAGUCUUAACUGGGCGUUAAGUUGCAGGGUAUAGACCCGAAACCCGGUGAUCUAGCCAUGGGCAGGUUGAAGGUUGGGUAACACUAACUGGAGGACCGAACCGACUAAUGUUGAAAAAUUAGCGGAUGACUUGUGGCUGGGGGUGAAAGGCCAAUCAAACCGGGAGAUAGCUGGUUCUCCCCGAAAGCUAUUUAGGUAGCGCCUCGUGAAUUCAUCUCCGGGGGUAGAGCACUGUUUCGGCAAGGGGGUCAUCCCGACUUACCAACCCGAUGCAAACUGCGAAUACCGGAGAAUGUUAUCACGGGAGACACACGGCGGGUGCUAACGUCCGUCGUGAAGAGGGAAACAACCCAGACCGCCAGCUAAGGUCCCAAAGUCAUGGUUAAGUGGGAAACGAUGUGGGAAGGCCCAGACAGCCAGGAUGUUGGCUUAGAAGCAGCCAUCAUUUAAAGAAAGCGUAAUAGCUCACUGGUCGAGUCGGCCUGCGCGGAAGAUGUAACGGGGCUAAACCAUGCACCGAAGCUGCGGCAGCGACGCUUAUGCGUUGUUGGGUAGGGGAGCGUUCUGUAAGCCUGCGAAGGUGUACUGUGAGGUAUGCUGGAGGUAUCAGAAGUGCGAAUGCUGACAUAAGUAACGAUAAAGCGGGUGAAAAGCCCGCUCGCCGGAAGACCAAGGGUUCCUGUCCAACGUUAAUCGGGGCAGGGUGAGUCGACCCCUAAGGCGAGGCCGAAAGGCGUAGUCGAUGGGAAACAGGUUAAUAUUCCUGUACUUGGUGUUACUGCGAAGGGGGGACGGAGAAGGCUAUGUUGGCCGGGCGACGGUUGUCCCGGUUUAAGCGUGUAGGCUGGUUUUCCAGGCAAAUCCGGAAAAUCAAGGCUGAGGCGUGAUGACGAGGCACUACGGUGCUGAAGCAACAAAUGCCCUGCUUCCAGGAAAAGCCUCUAAGCAUCAGGUAACAUCAAAUCGUACCCCAAACCGACACAGGUGGUCAGGUAGAGAAUACCAAGGCGCUUGAGAGAACUCGGGUGAAGGAACUAGGCAAAAUGGUGCCGUAACUUCGGGAGAAGGCACGCUGAUACGUAGGUGAAGUCCCUCGCGGAUGGAGCUGAAAUCAGUCGAAGAUACCAGCUGGCUGCAACUGUUUAUUAAAAACACAGCACUGUGCAAACACGAAAGUGGACGUAUACGGUGUGACGCCUGCCCGGUGCCGGAAGGUUAAUUGAUGGGGUUAGCGGUAACGCGAAGCUCUUGAUCGAAGCCCCGGUAAACGGCGGCCGUAACUAUAACGGUCCUAAGGUAGCGAAAUUCCUUGUCGGGUAAGUUCCGACCUGCACGAAUGGCGUAAUGAUGGCCAGGCUGUCUCCACCCGAGACUCAGUGAAAUUGAACUCGCUGUGAAGAUGCAGUGUACCCGCGGCAAGACGGAAAGACCCCGUGAACCUUUACUAUAGCUUGACACUGAACAUUGAGCCUUGAUGUGUAGGAUAGGUGGGAGGCUUUGAAGUGUGGACGCCAGUCUGCAUGGAGCCGACCUUGAAAUACCACCCUUUAAUGUUUGAUGUUCUAACGUUGGCCCCUAAUCGGGGUUGCGGACAGUGUCUGGUGGGUAGUUUGACUGGGGCGGUCUCCUCCUAAAGAGUAACGGAGGAGCACGAAGGUUGGCUAAUCCUGGUCGGACAUCAGGAGGUUAGUGCAAUGGCAUAAGCCAGCUUGACUGCGAGCGUGACGGCGCGAGCAGGUGCGAAAGCAGGUCAUAGUGAUCCGGUGGUUCUGAAUGGAAGGGCCAUCGCUCAACGGAUAAAAGGUACUCCGGGGAUAACAGGCUGAUACCGCCCAAGAGUUCAUAUCGACGGCGGUGUUUGGCACCUCGAUGUCGGCUCAUCACAUCCUGGGGCUGAAGUAGGUCCCAAGGGUAUGGCUGUUCGCCAUUUAAAGUGGUACGCGAGCUGGGUUUAGAACGUCGUGAGACAGUUCGGUCCCUAUCUGCCGUGGGCGCUGGAGAACUGAGGGGGGCUGCUCCUAGUACGAGAGGACCGGAGUGGACGCAUCACUGGUGUUCGGGUUGUCAUGCCAAUGGCACUGCCCGGUAGCUAAAUGCGGAAGAGAUAAGUGCUGAAAGCAUCUAAGCACGAAACUUGCCCCGAGAUGAGUUCUCCCUGACUCCUUGA
RNAcentral lists this ribosomal RNA (2788 nucleotides) under Escherichia coli. RNAcentral describes it as "bacterial LSU rRNA". It matches the Rfam family "Bacterial large subunit ribosomal RNA". The record is from RNAcentral. Lineage: Bacteria; Pseudomonadati; Pseudomonadota; Gammaproteobacteria; Enterobacterales; Enterobacteriaceae.